Non-coding RNA from Caenorhabditis elegans, 116 nucleotides. The record is from Ensembl. Lineage: Eukaryota; Metazoa; Nematoda; Chromadorea; Rhabditida; Rhabditidae.
GCUAGUGCUCCAUCAAGGUUCCAGCGCUUCCCCUUUUUUCAUUUCAUUCCACGCCGCUCAUCAUUCAUCCGUCGUGACUGAGAUUCGAUCAUACUAGCAGACACCUGGUUACUUUU